GGAGAGAGAGAUCUAAGGAAGCCAUCUUCACUAUCAGACCGGUCUCCCUCCAUCUUCCGGUUCCACAUAGUUGUAGAAACCUACGCUGUAAUAGUUCUUCAUCGCAUGAGAGGAGAAUAGAGGCAACCCCAUUACCCUCAAAGUGUUCGGCAAAGUGCUAAGAAAAAAGAGGCCAACCCCAUCACCCUCAAAGUGUUCGACAAAAUGCUUGGCUUGGAGGCAUGGUUUAUAAAGAUAAUUUUUGACCUUAACAUAGUCCAAGUUUGUUUUGGAUUGUGUUUAUCAGUGUACAUCUUACAGGUAUACUUUGUCUCAAAGCUAUUCAAUUACUUGAUUACUAUCAGGUUUAAUUGUAAAGAAAGUAAAGUUGAGUUUUUGGAUUUUAAGGGGGAAUUACUUAUGAAGAUUGUGCAGGCCAUAAGGGUACAAUUGGACCCGAUGAUGUGCAAGUAAGACAUAUCAGUUGCUGAAGAAUUGGGAUCCUUUUCUAAUGUUGGACUAUUUUUCAUGUUUUGAGACUGUCACAUACAUGUUGCAGGAGGCAUUACUCAUUAAGAUUGUGCAGGCCAUAAGGGUCCAAUUGGACUCGGUACUGUGCAGUGGAUGACAGCAGGUAGAGGAAUCAUCCAACCCUGAAAUGUCUGCAAGAAGAAAAACUCAAAAUGAUUACAGCUUUGGGUCAAUUUAUCCUCCAAGGUCAAAAUGUCAGAACUCUUCUUUUUUUUGAAGGGGAUCUUAAAAGUAGAAGUUCUCAAAUCAAUGAUUCCAUCAAAAGUUCAUUCUCUUGGGCAUAUAAGCUGCACUUUUGGGAGAUCUAGGGUACCAUGGAAAAGAAAGAACACUGACAGGGGCUUGAAAACAACUUUAUGUUGCUGUUUGGGACCAUGAUUUAAUUUUGCCUUAAGUUUAAAAAUGAGAUUACAUCAUACAAAGAUACAAUUGUAUAAAGUAAUGAAGAUUUCCAACCAUGAGAAGUGGAAGCA
Quercus lobata is the source of this 983-nucleotide long non-coding RNA. RefSeq lists it as uncharacterized. The record is from RefSeq and is a predicted model, not a curated record. NCBI's taxonomy places the organism in Eukaryota, Viridiplantae, Streptophyta, Magnoliopsida, Fagales, Fagaceae. The transcript is spliced from 7 exons.